GAGAAUUCUAAGGCGCUUGAGAGAAACCAUGCUAAGGAACUCUGCAAAAUGAGUCCGUAACUUCGGAAGAAGGGCUGCCAACUAGGUGAAGUUUUUUACAAAUGGAGCUAAAGUUGGUCGCAGUGAAAAGGUCCAGGCGACUGUUUAUCAAAAACAUAGCACUAUGCGAACUCGUAAGAGGAAGUAUAUGGUGUGACUCCUGCCCGG
RNAcentral lists this ribosomal RNA (207 nucleotides) under Ctenophora environmental sample. RNAcentral's name for it is "partial Bacterial large subunit ribosomal RNA". It matches the Rfam family "Bacterial large subunit ribosomal RNA", at positions 1674 to 1866 of the family's 2925-position model. The record is from RNAcentral. Lineage: Eukaryota; Metazoa; Ctenophora.